AUUGAACGCUGGCGGCAGGCCUAACACAUGCAAGUCGAACGGUAACAGGAAGCAGCUUGCUGCUUUGCUGACGAGUGGCGGACGGGUGAGUAAUGUCUGGGAAACUGCCUGAUGGAGGGGGAUAACUACUGGAAACGGUAGCUAAUACCGCAUAACGUCGCAAGACCAAAGAGGGGGACCUUCGGGCCUCUUGCCAUCGGAUGUGCCCAGAUGGGAUUAGCUAGUAGGUGGGGUAACGGCUCACCUAGGCGACGAUCCCUUGCUGGUCUGAGAGGAAGACCGACCACCAUGGAAACUGACACCCGGCCCAGACCCUGAGGGAGGGCAGAGUGGGGAAAUGUUGCACAAUGGGGGAAAGCUGGAGUCAGCAAUGCCGCGUGUAGGAAGAAGGCCUGCGGGUGGUAAAGAAUUUUAGGCGGGGAGAAAGGGGGUAAAGUUAAAACCUUGCUCAUUGACGUUACCCGCAGAAGAAGCACCGGCUAACUCCGUG
RNAcentral lists this ribosomal RNA (490 nucleotides) under uncultured bacterium. Its description in RNAcentral is "partial 16S ribosomal RNA". It matches the Rfam family "Bacterial small subunit ribosomal RNA", at positions 29 to 507 of the family's 1533-position model. The record is from RNAcentral.